AGUGAACGCUGGCGGUAGGCCUAACACAUGCAAGUCGAACGGCAGCACAGUAAGAGCUUGCUCUUAUGGGUGGCGAGUGGCGGACGGGUGAGGAAUACAUCGGAAUCUACUUUUUCGUGGGGGAUAACGUAGGGAAACUUACGCUAAUACCGCAUACGACCUACGGGUGAAAGCAGGGGAUCUUCGGACCUUGCGCGAUUGAAUGAGCCGAUGUCGGAUUAGCUAGUUGGCGGGGUAAAGGCCCACCAAGGCGACGAUCCGUAGCUGGUCUGAGAGGAUGAUCAGCCACACUGGAACUGAGACACGGUCCAGACUCCUACGGGAGGCAGCAGUGGGGAAUAUUGGACAAUGGGCGCAAGCCUGAUCCAGCCAUACCGCGUGGGUGAAGAAGGCCUUCGGGUUGUAAAGCCCUUUUGUUGGGAAAGAAAAGCAGCAGGUUAAUACCCCGCUGUUCUGACAGUACCCAAAGAAUAAGCACCGGCUAACUUCGUG
RNAcentral lists this ribosomal RNA (492 nucleotides) under uncultured bacterium. Its description in RNAcentral is "partial 16S ribosomal RNA". It matches the Rfam family "Bacterial small subunit ribosomal RNA", at positions 29 to 507 of the family's 1533-position model. The record is from RNAcentral.